RNAcentral lists this transfer RNA (71 nucleotides) under Apiospora arundinis. RNAcentral describes it as "Arthrinium arundinis tRNA-Gly". It matches the Rfam family "tRNA". From Rfam's summary of the family: Transfer RNA (tRNA) molecules are approximately 80 nucleotides in length. The record is from RNAcentral. Lineage: Eukaryota; Fungi; Ascomycota; Sordariomycetes; Amphisphaeriales; Apiosporaceae.
GCGGCCAUAGGUUAAUGGUAGACUUAUCGACUUCCAAUCGAAAGGUGUCGAUUCGAAUUCGACUGGCCGUA